Molecule: ribosomal RNA, 509 nt
Filed under: uncultured bacterium
Lineage: Bacteria
Description: bacterial SSU rRNA
Rfam family: Bacterial small subunit ribosomal RNA
Source: RNAcentral
CUUGUAGCAAUACCGGCUGUUCAGUGGCGAACGGGUGCGUAACACGUGGGCAACAUGCCUGAAAGCGCGGGAUAGCCCGGGGAAACCCGGAUUAAUACCGCAUGUGACGCCGGAGGGGAUUCCCUCCAUCGUCAAAGGUGGGGACCGCAAGGCCUGCCGCUUUCAGAUUGGCCCGCGCCCUAUCAGCUUGUUGGUGAGGUAACGGCUCACCAAGGCUACGACGGGUAGCUGGUCUGAGAGGACGACCAGCCACACUGGAACUGAGACACGGUCCAGACACCUACGGGUGGCAGCAGUCGAGAAUCUUUCACAAUGGGGGAAACCCUGAUGGAGCGACGCCGCGUGGAGGAUGAAGGUCUUCGGAUUGUAAACUCCUGUCAUGAGAGAACAAGCAACCCCGGCCAAUACCCGGGGAAGUUGAUAGUACCUCAAGAGGAAGGGACGGCUAACUUCGUGCCAGCAGCCGCGGUAAUACGAAGGUCCCAAGCGUUGUUCGGAAUCACUGGCCG